GGGGGCAUAGCUCAGCUGGUCGGAGCAUCGGCUUUGCAAGCCGAGGGUCAGGGGUUCGAAUCCCCUUGCCUCCA
The sequence is a transfer RNA, 74 nucleotides long. It matches the Rfam family "tRNA". From Rfam's summary of the family: Transfer RNA (tRNA) molecules are approximately 80 nucleotides in length. The record is from Rfam.